CACCAACCUCAACAUCUGCAGUAGGGAUGAGGCCCACUACCACGUCACAGACAGCCCUCACUGGGGACAGUUGCUCCAAGCCACUCAGCCAGCCACAGCCUUCUCUCAGCAGGACCUGCUGGUUGGGGCUGUUUUCUAUGGCCACAAUGGCAGCCUCAGCUCCCGCAACACCCUGGCCUUCUCAAUGGAUGUGGGACCAGUGCACACAGAUGCCACCCUACAAGUGACCAUUGCCCUAGAGGGCCCAGUAGCCCCACUGAAGCUGGCCCAGCACAAGGAGAUCUACAUCUUCCAGGGAGAGGCAGCUGAGAUCAGAAGGGACCAGCUGGAGGUAGCCCAGGAGGCAGUGCCGCCAGCAGACAUCGUUUUCUCAGUGAAGAGCCCACCGAGUGCCGGCUACCUGGUGAUGGUGCUGCGUGGCAUCUUGGCAGAUGAGCCACCCAGCCUGGACCCCGUGCAGAGCUUCUCCCAAGAGGCAGUGGACACAGGCAGGAUCCUCUACCUGCACUCCCGCCCUGAGGCCCGGAGCCAUGCCUUCUCGCUGGAUGUGGCCUCGGCCUGGGUGCUCCCCUUGAGGACGUCACGUGGAGCUGGAGGUGCUGCCUGCUGUCAUCCCCACUGGGGGCACAAAACUUCAGCAGUAGAGGGGGCACAGUCGCAGCUGCACCCUGGCCCCUCCACUGCUCCGCGUUGCCAGGUCCUACUUCCCCACUCUCCCGGGCCUUGGCCUGCAGGUGCUGGAGCCACCCCGGCAUGGGGCCCUGCAGAAGGAGGAUGGGCCUCAAGCCAGGACCCUCAGCACCUUCUGCUGGAGAGAGGUGGAAGAGCAUCUGAUCCAGUACCUGCACGAUGGGAGCAAGACACUGACGGUUUUGUCCUGAUGGCUAAUGCCUCUGAGAUGGACCGCCAGAGCCAUCCUGUGGCCUUCACUGUCACCAUCCUGCCUGUCAAUGGCCAACCCCCGACCUCAUACAAACUCAGGCCUGCAGAGUCCGUCCAGCCACUCAGCAGCCAGAGCCUCAGAGCCAGCAGGCACCGACCCCCAGCUCCUGCUCUACCAUGUGGUGCGGGGCCUCCAGCUAGGCCGGCUCUUCCACGCCCAGCAUGACAGCACAGGGGAGGACCUGGUGAACUUCACUCAGGGAGAGACCCCGGAGUUCAUCAUCUCGGAGCCGCUGGCCAAUAUGUACUCAUGUGGGAACCAGAACACACUGAUGGAGGAGUUGGCAGAGCAGGCACAGCAGCACGACGAGAUGCUGCACAUGCACCACGCGCUGAAGGAGGCGCUCAGCAUCAUCGGUGACAUCAACAGGACCACUGUCACCAUGCCCAUGCCCCCGCCCGUGGACGACACCUGGUUGCAGGUGCAGAGCAUCCCUGACGCACACAGCCCAGUCCCGGGGGCGCCUACUUCAGGUCUGAGAGUCUGAACUCCGAGAUGCUCUGGGUGUGUGGAUUUCCUUCAGCUACCCUGAUGUCCCCAAUUCCAAGUCCUGACUCCUUUGAGCCAUCCCAGGGGGUGUCCGGCCACUGGACCACAGGAGCAGAGAAUCACUAUCAGUGGCCCCUGAGGAGCAUCAGCCAUGGUACCAUCACAGCUGCUAGCGUGUGACUGAAGGCUGGGUCCCUGGCCAGCGCUACUGAAGCACUACUGCCAGCCAGCAGACUCACGGACCUUGGCCUGUUGCUCCUAGGGGUCACCUGUGCUAUUCAGCCAAGGAGACCACAGUGCUUGCUGGCCCAGCUGAGCUCCGCCUAGCGAGCCCACCUGCCUUUCCUGCCACGGAGUCUCCCUCUUCUGCUUUUCCCAGCAGGAAGGGCCCAGCCUCACCUAUGCAACCUGCAGCCCCCCGCCAACCAGUUGAGGCUCCCCUCUUAGACUUAUAAGUCUACGGGCAGUGGCAUCUAGCUACCUGCCCUCCCUGCCUUCCCCAGGGUCCCUUCAGUGGACCCUGGGCUUUCUGACUGCCCAGAGAGGGGCCUCUGGCGCUCACUCCAGCCCGCCAUCCCUUAUAGCUUCACCAUUUUGGUUCAAGCAGUGUUCCUUCUGUCAGGCUUGGUGGCUGUUGGGUGGGGCUCCCCAAGCAAGAGGUGGCCCUGGGCCAGUGGGUUGGAAGAUGGGGUGACCACAGAAGAGGGAAGCCGGGGGGGUUGAGCAUUGGUCUGAACUGUGGGUGGACUGCCUGGGUGCCAUGAGAGAGGCCAGUGUGUGUGGGGUGGGGAGGGCUGCCACAGCCCCCAGGCACUACCUAUGAAGCUCUAGCUUCUCCCUCCAUCUUCCUCCCCUUUCCCUUCCAGCCCCUCUUUUCCAGGAACCUUGCCACGCCCACACCUACGCCUUCCCCUUCCCGGCUCUCAGAUGAUGGUGGUGUUUAUCUCCCUGUUCUCGGGAGCCCAAAAAGAAUGGCAUGCAGGGGUUGCUGCCCAUGCCUGGGUGCUCCUGGGGAGUCCUGCAUUACAGGAAGCAGCUGCUGGAUCUGCUGUGCAGUGGGGUUGUCGUGGGGAGAACCCUCCCUGUCCUCUCCUGGUGCAGCCUCCACGCUAUCAGUGAGGCUCACCUCACAAAGAUCUUCAGAGAGAGGGAGGGGGGUGGGAAUCUGAGCACAGUGCGAGCCUCCCCUGCUCCUGCCUGCCCACCCCACCUGAGGGCUCUACUCACCACCCUGCUCGUCAGCACACCCAAGCUCCUGGGCUACUGGGGCUCCUAGAGUGGGCUCAUCAGCAGGGUUCUGGGCAAUGGUCAAAAUUUGCCAUGCCCCUCCUUGUGGUCGCCCACAAGCUGCAACACCUGCCCCGCAGCUCCUGCAGGUUCACCUGGAGGAAAGGGGUGUUAGCUGCCAUGCCGGUGCCGGCACGCACGUUCACCCCCACCUCCACCCCCACCCCCACCGAGAUGUUGCACACCCUACCUUCAUCUCCUCCUGGUCCUGGGCCAGCCUGACGAUGUCCUCCUCUCCCAGUGCUGCGUCUCUGACACUGCCCCCUGGCUGAUGUACUUUCCUGCAGGAGGACAUGGCUCAGAUGCUGGGGCCCCUCGGAUGGCCUGGCAGCUCCCCCCAGCGGUGCCCUAGCCUCUCGCUCACUAUGGUGUCUGUCUGUCCUGAGAGGUGGAUGAAUUGAAGCUCUAGUUUCUCUACCCGCUCCUUCAGGUCCACCUUCUCCUUCCAUAAAGUCGCUGUGGAGCCAAAAUAAUGGGGUCACAUGUCAGGAGUCACCUGCCUUGUCCUGCCCCACCGCCCCCCUUGUUGGCCCAUGCCAGGACCUACUCACCUGCAGCUUCUCCAUGGCCCCCUGCAGGGCCCGGUGGGUCUCCCCAAACACAGACUCACCCCCACUCUCUGGGGCUGGGGCCGCUACCUCUGGCUUCUUCUGGGACGAGGCCACUGGGUGAGCCAGGGGCUGGCAGCACACCCUUUGUUCCUCCUGGGCACUGGCUCCAGCGGAGUUGAAAAAUGCCACCUGAAGACAAGAGGUGAGUAUUCUUGUAGGGGUAUACACAUAACAACUGGGGCAGGCAGAUGGAGCAUAGCCCCUUCCUUUCGGGCCUCACAGAGUGCACCUGUUGGUCACAGGUGAAAUGGUGUCUGACCACUGGCUCCCAGGAGGAGUGAAAGUCCACAGAAGUCAGAAGGCGGGGAAACCAAGAACAUAAGGGGGUUUCGGAGGGACCACAGAGGAAGGUGGCAAAGUAGGGGCAGGGAAAGUCAGGCUCACCAUGGCCUCCCGGCUCUCCAGGUCCCCUGGGAUGUUCGGCAUGGGCCGAGGCGCCUCCUGCUCACUGUCCAGAUGUCCUCCUCCAUCUCCUGUGGGGGGUGGCCAGAGGGGUCCUCAGACAACCCAACAAGGGAGGUACAGUGGGCCCGCCUCUGCCCCCACACUCACUGUGUAACCUUGAGCCAGCCCCUCCCCAGAGGGGAAUGAGCUGUUCUUUAUUUUGAAUUUUAAGAACCAAGAUCUUGCUAUAUUGCCCAGGCACAGUCCCACUACCGAUUGGCGCAGGAAUUCUGACCUGCUCCCCUUCUGACCUGAGCCAGUUCUCCCAUCCUUAGGCAACCCGAUGGCCCCCUGUUCCCAGGAGGUCACCAUACUGAUACUGAACUUAGUGCGGACACCUUGUCGGCAUAAUGACCGACACAAAAUGCUUAAAAGGUAACCUGACUCUUUGUUCAGGGCUCAGUCCUUUAGAUGUUAAUCUGACUGGGCCGGUGCACCUAAUAAUAUAUAUCCUCCUCAGUCUCUCUGAUUCCUAAAUUAUGCUGCUGUACGGGGAGAGAGGCAGCAGGGUAGUGGAGUCAUACCAAGCAACAAGACAGGGUAGUGGCCAGGCAUGGUGGCUCACACCUGUAAUCCCAGCAAUUUGGGAGGCCAAGGCGGGUGGAUCACCUGAGGUCAGGAGUUCGAGACCAGCCUGGCCAACAUGAUGAAACCCCAUCUCUACUAAAAACACAAAAAUUAGCUGGGCAUGGUGGCAGGUGCCUGUAAUCCCAGCUACUCAGGAGGCUGAGGCAGGAGAAUUGCUUGAACCCAGGAGAUGGAGGUUGCAGUAAGCCAAGAUUGUGCCAUUGCACUCCAGCCAGGGGGACAAGAGGGAGACUUCACCUCGAAAGACAGACAGACAGGCUAGUACGUUUUCCACAAAUUUCAAUUUUACUCUCUUCCCCCACCACACACACACACAAAGCAUUUGAGGGAUGGGAGGAAGAAACUGAGAUCACAGGAAAAAUUGUAAGAGACAUUCAGAAGGACAGGUCUUAGAAAUUUACUAGUUUUGGGGGGAGGUCAGAACAGGUGUAUAUAAAAGAAUAUUAAGACAGUUCCCAGGUUUAGGCAUAUGUGACUAGAUAGAGUGCUAGGAGAUGGAUACGUGAAAAUUUAAAUAUCAUCAUUUUGAACACCCAUGUCACUCCAAGUGAGAUUCCCUAAAUAUAUGAUAUACAGACAGAUAUAUGGGUUUGAAACUCUGGAGAUGAAUACAAAUUUAGGAGUCCCUGGAACACAGGUCAUGACUUAAGUAAUGGGAGUCAAAGAUUACUCAGAGAAAGCACAGAAUGAGAAGAGAAGAAGUAGGACAAGGAAGAAGAGAUCGGAGGAGACCAAGAAAGGGUGAUAAGAUCAAAACAGGAGAAAAGAAUCCGACAGAAGUCUCAUUUGAUUAUCAUGUCCCUUCCCAGAGGACAGGGACAUGUCUUUUUUGUCUUUUAUACCCAAUUAUCACAGGUCCUGGUGCAGCAGACACACAGUUUUUUUUUUUUUAAUUGUGUUGUACUAUUCACAGUUUCCUGUAUUCACCAGGGGAGAAAAAAGUAAGUAUAAAGCAGCACAGACACAGAUGUUUUUACACUGUGUACUAAAGGGGUCAGAUUAUACACAAUAUUUUAUGCCUUACUUUUUUACUUAAUAUAUCUUAGAAGUUUGCACGUGCUCUUAUGGAAAGACUGGCUGCAUUUUUUGGUCCACAACAGAACAACAGAAUAUUCUAUUAUAAAACGGUACACUAUAAUUUUUAUUUAACCAACUCUUUAUUGGUGGACAUUAAGAAUGGAGGAAUGUUUCAACAAAGGAACAAUCAACAGUAUCAAAAUACUGCAGAGGGGUCAAUUUGGGGACUAAGAGGGGAGCCACUGGAUUUGACAACUAGGAGAUAAAUUUUAGUGCAACGAUGAAGGCAGAAUCCAGAGUAUAAUGAGCUCAGUGAAAAAAGGUGAAGACAUGUAGCUUAUUCUCUCAAGAAACUAGGCUAUGAUAAACUGGCAGAGGCUCUAAGAGUGGGAGGUGAGUUGUUUUCUCCUUCAUGUAAAUAUAUUUACCUUUUAAACACUAGGCCCAAUUUUAUAUCCUAUUUCAUUUAACUUUAUGAACAUAUUUAUGUAUGUAUGCAUGUAUGUAUGUAUCUCAUGUGAUGUUUUAGACACUGAAAAAUAACUCAUUUCUAUUAUAAAACUGAUAUCUUUAGAUGUUCAGAAGCAACUUCCUAAAAGGAGGUAGCAGUAAUGGAGCUAUGUCUAUCAUUCUUUCCCAUCAACCCCCUUGAUGGAGAUGUAAACAUGUGUCCAUCAAGCCUUUAAUUUUUACCUCUUAUCUUCAUGGCUCUCCAUACAAAACUUAACUCUUUUUUUUUUCUAUUUGUAUACGUAUAUUUAUAUGUAUAUCUAUAUCGAGAGAGAGAGAGAGAGAAAGAGUCUUGCUGUGUUGCCCAGGCUGAUCUCAAACUCCUGGGCUCAAGCAAUCCUCCCACCUUGGCCUCGCAAAGUGCUGGGAUUACAGGCGUGAACCACUGUGCCCAGCCUCAGCCUUAACUCUUAAAAUAUCUUCAAACCAAUAUUCUUCUGUUCUAAUUUUUAAGAAUAGAUGUGUUUAAACCAACUAACUUAUUUUGACAAAAAUUGGAGUUAAGACUCAGACUUCCUCAAAUAGUUCUCCUAAAACCAUUUACAGAAUAAUCUAUCUUUUCAGUAUUAAGUUAAAAUACCACCUUUUCCUUAUACUAAAUUCUCGUUUGCAUGACUCUGGUUCUAAACUUCCAUUGCCUUUAUCUGUCUGGCCCAGGGAUAGUCCACAAUAUUUUAUUUACUAUCUGGUUGAAAGAGUCUAUACUUUAUUACUUUUUAUUACUUAUUCUUCUAAACAAAUUUUAGAGUCGUUUUGUCAAGUGUCAAAAAUAAAUCUGCCAGAAUUUGUACUGAAAUUUGUGUGUGUGUAUAUAUAUAAUACACACACACUAUAUAUAAAAUAUAAAAUGUAUAUAUACAAUUUAUAUAUAUAAAUAUUUAUAAAAUAUGAAAUAUAUAUAUAUAUACACACACACUUUUCUAGUUCUUUUUUUUUUUUUUUGAGACAGGGUCUCACUCUGUCACCUAGGCUGGAGUUCAGAGGCAUGAUCUCGGCUCACUGCAACCUCUGCCUCCCAGGCUCAAGUGCUCCUCCCACCUCAGCCUCAGAAGUAGUUGGAAAUACAAGUGUGUGCCACAGACACCCAGCUAAUUGUCAUCUACCCGCCUCAGCUUCCCAAACUGUUUGGAUUACAGGUAUGAGCCACUGUGCCCAGCAGAAAUUACAUUUACAAAUUAAUAUGAAGACAUGGUGAUAACUAACAUAUUUAUAACAUGAAAUCUGCUCAUCCAGGAACAUAGAAUGCAAAUCUUUCAUUCCACUCAGCAAAAUUUUGUCCUGUCCUUGAUAAAAGUCCUGCACAUCUAAGUUUAUUCCUAGGUAUUUAAUUUUUGCUGAAAUACCUGAAAAAAUACUUCAUCACUAUAUCUUCUAUGUGAUUAUAGCUAACACUGGGGAAGGCUAUUGAUUUUUAUAUAAAAGAACUUUUAACCAGUAAUCUUAAAAAUUGUUUUUCUCAGUUGGUUCCUUUGGAUAUUUUUAGGUAAACAAUCAUGUCAACUGAAAAUAAUGAUAAAUUUUCUAUAAAGACUAUGACAUCACAGGAAAAUACAGUAAAUACUUUUUAAAAGAAUAUAAAAGGGCCAGGCACAGUGGCUCACGCCUGUAAUCCCAGCACUUUGGGAGGCCAAGGUGGGCAGACCAUGAGGUCAGGAGAUCGAGACCAUCCUGGCUAACACGGUGAAACCCCAUCUCUACUAAAAAAUACAAAAAAUUAGCCGGGAAUGGUGGCGGGCGCCUGUAGUCCCAGCUACUGGGGAGGCUGAGGCAGGAGAAUGGUGGGAACCCAGGAGGUGGAGCUUGCAGUGAGCCGAGAUCACGGCACUGCACUCCAGCCUGGGUGACAGAGCAAGACUCUGUCUCAAAAAAAAAAAAAAAAAAAAAAAAAAAAAAAAAAAAAA
Molecule: long non-coding RNA, 7790 nt
Organism: Homo sapiens (human)
Lineage: Eukaryota; Metazoa; Chordata; Mammalia; Primates; Hominidae
Source: Ensembl